UACGGAGGGUGCAAGCGUUAUCCGGAUUUACUGGGUUUAAAGGGUGUGUAGGCGGGCCAUUAAGUCUGUGGUGAAAUCUCCGGGCUCAACCUGGGAAUGGCGAUGGAUACUGGCUCGCUAGAGUGCGGUAGAGGAGAGUGGAAUUCCCGGUGUAGCAGUGAAAUGCGUAGAGAUCGGGAGGAACAUCAGUUGCGAAGGCGGCUCUCUGGACCAGCACUGACACUGAGGCACGAAAGCGUGGGGAGCAAACAGG
RNAcentral lists this ribosomal RNA (253 nucleotides) under uncultured bacterium. RNAcentral describes it as "partial 16S ribosomal RNA". It matches the Rfam family "Bacterial small subunit ribosomal RNA", at positions 524 to 776 of the family's 1533-position model. The record is from RNAcentral.